CCAAUUUGGGUCAGAUUUGGGGUAUUUUGGGUCAGAUUUUGGGUCAGAUUUGGGGUUUUUUGGAUCAUAUUUGGGGCUUUUUGGGUCCAGAUUUGGUGUUUUUGGGGUCAAAUUUUGGGGUUUUUUGGGUCAAAUUUGGGGUUUUUUGGGUCCAGAUUUGGGGUUUUUUGGGUCCAAUUUGGGUCAGAUUUGGGGUUUUUUGGAUCAUAUUUGGGGUUUUUUUGGGUCAAAUUGGGUCAGAUUUGGGGUUUUUUUGGGUCAGAUUUGGGUUUUUAGGGUCCAAAUUGGGUCAAAUUUGGGUUUUUUGGGGUCAAAUUGGGGCAGAUUUGGGGUUUUUUGGGUCAGAUUUGGGGUUUUUUAGGCUCCAAUUUGGGUCAAAUUUGGGGUUUUUGGGGUCAAAUUGGGUCAGAUUUGGGGUUUUUUUGGGUCAGAUUUGGGGUUUUUUGGAUCAUAUUUGGGGUUUUUUGGGUCCAAAUUGGGUCAAAUUUGGG
This 491-nucleotide long non-coding RNA is filed under the name Coturnix japonica (Japanese quail). RNAcentral's name for it is "lncRNA (ENSCJPG00005001119.1)". The record is from RNAcentral. Lineage: Eukaryota; Metazoa; Chordata; Aves; Galliformes; Phasianidae.